UCGAGGGGGCUACGGCCCCGAAGGAUGUAGGCCAGUCAGAAUUGCAGUCUGUUGGGCGCAAUGCUCUACCUGCUGAACUCAUGGCGGGUGGAGGAUCCAAGAUGCGCAAUUCACACAAUGAUUGGCCGGCAUCAUGUAUAUUGUAACCCUUGUCUAUCAGUACCACCGUUUCCUCAGCAGGUCCGCUUGCUAAUGGGGACCCUAUUCAACCUUUUUUAUGUAUAUAGUAACCGUAAACAAACAAAUAAUCA
This 251-nucleotide unclassified non-coding RNA is filed under the name uncultured fungus. RNAcentral's name for it is "sequence contains ITS1". Lineage: Eukaryota; Fungi. The record is from RNAcentral.